UACAGAGGGUGCGAGCGUUGUCCGGAAUCACUGGGCGUAAAGGGCGCGUAGGUGGUGACCUAAGCGUGCGGUGAAAGCCCGAGGCUCAACCUCGGGUCGGCCGUGCGAACUGGGUCACUGGAGCAGAAUAGAGGCAGGUGGAAUUCCGGGUGUAGCGGUGGAAUGCGUAGAGAUCGGGAGGAACACCGGUGGCGAAGGCGGCCUUCUGGACGGUGACUGACGCUGAGGCGCGAAAGCGUGGGGAGCAAACGGG
RNAcentral lists this ribosomal RNA (253 nucleotides) under uncultured bacterium. Its description in RNAcentral is "partial 16S ribosomal RNA". It matches the Rfam family "Bacterial small subunit ribosomal RNA", at positions 524 to 776 of the family's 1533-position model. The record is from RNAcentral.